UUAAAUUUUAUUUAUUAAUUUUGUUUAUUUAUAUUUAAAAUAUUAAAAAUAAUUAUAAAAUAAAAAGUUUUAGUAUUGUUUAAAGAAAAAAUAAAUUUAAUAAUAGUUUAAUAGUAUUGUAAAAGAAAAUUGAAAUAAUUUGAAAAAUUAUUAAUUUAAAAGAAAAUUUAAUUUAUUGUACCUUGUGUAUCAGUGUUUAUUAAAUAAAAAAUAUUUAAAAUAUUUUUCUCGAUUUUAAAAGAGUUAAUAUAAUAUAAAAGUUAAUGUGAUAAAAUUAUUUUUAAUAUUAUAUUUGAAAUGAAAUGUUAUUCGUUUUUAAAGGUAUCUAGUUUUUCAAGAAAUAAAUUUAAUUUAGAAAUUAUAAAUUUAUUUAAAAAAUUUUUUAAUUAAAUAAUUUAUAAUUUUAAUAUUUUAUGGGAUAAGCUAUAAAAUAAAUUUUUAUAAAUAAUAAAUAAAUUUAAUAAAUAUAUGCUUAAAAUUAGCAAUUGUUUGUAAAUAUGUUAUAAUUUAUUUUAUAAAUAAAAUUAUUUAUUAUAUUUUAAAUAUUUAUUGAAAUAUUAAUUUUAAUUUUUAAAAUUAAGUAAUAAUGUUAAAAUUAGUAUAUUAUAUUGUAAAAAUAAAUUUAAAUGAAAAGUUUAUGUAAAG
This 645-nucleotide ribosomal RNA is filed under the name Drosophila aethostoma. RNAcentral's name for it is "partial 16S ribosomal RNA". The record is from RNAcentral. Lineage: Eukaryota; Metazoa; Arthropoda; Insecta; Diptera; Drosophilidae.